GUUUUGAAGGUUCAUCCAAGUUGUAACAUGUAUCGGAACUUCUUUCAUUUUUAUGGCUGAAUAAUAAUCGCAUUGUAUGAAAACCAUAUUUUUGUAAAUUGUUCUUGUAUACUGUGACCUAACUGAACUAAUUUAUUAGUCCUAUUAGAUUUGGGGGGUGGUAAUGCAGGGAAUGUAAAUUUUCUGGAUUUUCUUUACAUCAUGGUAUCUGUGAAUAAAGACAUUUUUAUUUCUUCCUCUUCAAUUUGAAUGCCUCUCUUUGUCUUGUUGCACUAGCUCCAAUACAAUGCUGAAUAGAAGUGGCAAGAGUGGACAUCCUUACCUUGUUCUAAAUCUUAAGGGGAAGAUGAAGAGUUGUUUUUCUAAUGUUGAACCAGCCGUGCAAUCCUGGGAUAAAUCCUAUUUACUCACUUGGUCAGGGUUUUAGCAUCAAGACUCUGCUGACCUUAUUAUGAACUGAAUUGAGAAGUAUUCCUUAUACUUUUUGGAAAAAAGUUUGCAUCAUUGUUAUUUCUUCCACAAAUGGAUGAGAGAAUUCACCUGGGCCUAGAGCUUUCUCUGUGUGAGAACUGUUUCAUUUAAUUUCUUGAAUAAUUUUACAAUAAUCCACAAAUAUAAUAACCUUAUAAAAGUAUAAUUCCACUUAUAGUCACCCAUUAUUUGAGCUAUAUUUACUUCUACAAGUAUAAACUCCCUCUUUAUACAUUUUAGACACAUUUCAGACACACACUUUAUAUAUCAUAUACAUAUUAAAUACAAGCAUAUAUUUUGCUUUAAUCAGUCAGUUGUCCUUUAAAGAAAUCAGAUAAAAAAUAUAGACUUUUAUAUUCACCCAUUAAUUAAUUUCUGGUUCUCUUCUCUUCCUCUACCCUGAACUCUCGUCUCUGCUCCUCAGCACAGUGGGACCACCAUUGCUUUGCUUGGACUCUAGUUCACUCUUACACAGUCAGAAAAUUGUCCCCAGGCAGGGAGACAGAGACAACAGGAGGGGAUCUGUACAGGAGGAAGGCCUGGUGUGCGAUAGGAGCCCAAGAAAGGUAAGAGAGUGCCUAAGCAGUUUUUAUGACCUUAAGCAGCAAGAGAGGAGUGCUUCAGUUACUCUGGCAGUGUAACAAAUUACUGCAAAACUUAAUAGCUUAAAACAACAAUAAUCAUGUAUUAUCUCUCCGGGUUUAUGUGGGUCAGGAAUUUAUAUAGAGGCACAGCAGGAAUGGCUUAUCUCUGCUCCACAAUAUCUGAGGCCUUAGUCAGAAGACUCAAAGGCUGGGAGCUGAAAACAUCUUAAUGCUCAUUUACUCACAUGUCUGGCAGCUGAUGCUGGCUUUCAACUGGGGCUUUAAUUCCUCUCUACAUGAGCCUUUUCAUGUGGUCUGAACUUCCUCGCAAUAUGAUGGCUGGAUUCUGAGGUCCACCAUUCAGAUGAGAGAGAUGGAAAGAGCCAGCCAGAAGCUGUGUUGCUUUCUAACCUAGAAAGUCAUGCAGCAAGGCUGGGUGCAGUGGCGCAUGCCUGUAAUCCUAACACUUUGGGAGGCCAAGGUGGGCAGAUC
This 1547-nucleotide long non-coding RNA is filed under the name Homo sapiens (human). Its description in RNAcentral is "HSALNT0358416". The record is from RNAcentral. Lineage: Eukaryota; Metazoa; Chordata; Mammalia; Primates; Hominidae.